GACGAACGCUGGCGGCGUGCUUAACACAUGCAAGUCGAACGGUAAGGCCCUUCGGGGUACACGAGUGGCGAACGGGUGAGUAACACGUGGGUGAUCUGCCCUGCACUUCGGGAUAAGCCUGGGAAACUGGGUCUAAUACCGGAUAGGACCACUGCCUGCAUGGGUGGUGGUGGAAAGCUUUUGCGGGGUGGGAUGGGCCCGCGGCCUAUCAGCUUGUUGGUGGGGUGAUGGCCUAGCAAGGCGACGACGGGUAGCCGGCCUGAGCGGGUGACCAGCCACACUGGGACUGAAAUACGGCCCAGACUCCUACGGGAGGCAGCAGUGGGGAAUAUUGCACACUGGGCGCAAGCCUGAUGCAGCGACGCCGCGUGAGGGAUGACGGACUUCGGGUUGUAAACCUCUUUCAGCACCGACGAAGCGCAAGUGACGGUAGGUGCAGAAGAAGGACCGGCCAACUACGUGCCAGCCGCCGCGGUAA
RNAcentral lists this ribosomal RNA (478 nucleotides) under uncultured bacterium. Its description in RNAcentral is "partial 16S ribosomal RNA". It matches the Rfam family "Bacterial small subunit ribosomal RNA", at positions 28 to 523 of the family's 1533-position model. The record is from RNAcentral.